AUGGCUCAGUGUUUAAGAGCACUGGCUAUUCUUCCAGAGGUCCUGAGUUCAAAUCUCAGU
Molecule: non-coding RNA, 60 nt
Organism: Rattus norvegicus (Norway rat)
Lineage: Eukaryota; Metazoa; Chordata; Mammalia; Rodentia; Muridae
Source: Rfam